Oreochromis aureus is the source of this 132-nucleotide long non-coding RNA. RefSeq lists it as uncharacterized. The record is from RefSeq and is a predicted model, not a curated record. Lineage: Eukaryota; Metazoa; Chordata; Actinopteri; Cichliformes; Cichlidae. The transcript is spliced from 3 exons.
AGAAGCUGUUUUCAAAGUAGCUGAGCAGAUUUCAUCUCAAACAAAGCCGAUGGCAGAAGAUGUUUGGAGAAGAACUUCAGGCCGUGGACUGAAAAGUAGAUCAAAGCAGCUCGUGCUCUGUCUGCUUCCAUU